AGAGUUUGAUCAUGGCUCAGAACGAACGCUGGCGGCAUGCCUAACACAUGCAAGUCGAACGAGACCUUCGGGUCUAGUGGCGCACGGGUGCGUAACGCGUGGGAAUCUGCCCUGGGGUGCGGAAUAACUCGGAGAAAUCCGUGCUAAUACCGCAUAAUGUCUUCGGACCAAAGAUUUAUCGCCCUGGGAUGAGCCCGCGUAGGAUUAGCUAGUUGGUGGGGUAAAGGCCUACCAAGGCGACGAUCCUUAGCUGGUCUGAGAGGAUGAUCAGCCACACUGGGACUGAGACACGGCCCAGACUCCUACGGGAGGCAGCAGUGGGGAAUAUUGGACAAUGGGCGAAAGCCUGAUCCAGCAAUGCCGCGUGAGUGAUGAAGGCCCUAGGGUUGUAAAGCUCUUUACCCGGGAUGAUAAUGACAGUACCGGGAGAAUAAGCUCCGGCUAACUCCGUG
This 452-nucleotide ribosomal RNA is filed under the name uncultured bacterium. Its description in RNAcentral is "bacterial SSU rRNA". It matches the Rfam family "Bacterial small subunit ribosomal RNA", at positions 8 to 507 of the family's 1533-position model. The record is from RNAcentral.